AGGCAAAUCCAAUGCAGAUCGAGUGGAGAGUUGCGACUCUUCCCUACAUUUGUCUGGUCUCGGACUCGGGGCUUUCCUAGAAACAGCUUCUUUGGAAAUGGCGGACGUGGGAUAAGGAGUUGGCGUUAAGAAGAUUCUCAAGUGAUUUUCUUUUUCUGUUCCGUAUCGCAGCGAGCCUUAUCUUUUCAUCAUCAACAUUGGGAUUUUCCAUUCCAGACUUUUCUUCUCUAAUCUUAAGGAUGUACUUCAAUAUCUCAAUAGCAUAGAUAACUUCGGCAAUGACAGAUUCCAGAAAACUUAAAGAUGCAGUUCAAGUGUUCAAUUAUGCAUAAAGAGUUCAAGAUGUAAUCCCGGAACCCUUUUUUGCUGUGUCUUGCAAAUGAGCAAUUUGUAAAUGGUUUUAAUAAGACUAGUAAAAUCAUCCUUAAGAACCAUAAGCCAGUAUUGUCAUAAAUAGGGGAUCAGCCUCAUCAUCAUGCUUUCAACAAAGAUAACUGAUGCGCAUCUAAAAGUAAUUUUGACAAGACAGUAAGGUACCCUGGCUGGUAGAUCUAGAUAUGAUGUUAUCUAAUAUGAGAUGGUUAUUGUGAAUAAAAAUGAAAAUGCUUUUCUUAGCCAAUCUGCCCAUGUAACGAAUGGUUAAUACAAGUAACCAGAGCAGUUAAACAAAAUACAGGGAUAACAUGGUCAUUUUAACAUGAAUGAGUGUAGAACAAUGCUAACCUUCCCAUGUCAUCAUAGGUUGCAGCAAGGUUGCUAUAAACUCCAAGAGUCUCUACGUGACAUGAGCCACAUUCUAGUUCCAAUAUCUUUCUUGCCUCUUCAAAUCACCCAACGGCCUCAUCUAUUCUGUACAGUUGCACAUUGCACAUUUGCUAGUCUCAUCUGGUUCAAUACAAUUCCAAAAAAAAGCAGAUUUACUCUCCCCACUAGCAUGGAGAUUUGCCAUAGCACUCUCGAAAGAGUUCAAACUUCCCCAUACCUCCCAACCAGGUAAAACAUCCCACCCAUCUGUGCUUCAAUUCUGGCAAUGAUGCUUAUGU
Long non-coding RNA from Gossypium arboreum, 1043 nucleotides. RefSeq lists it as uncharacterized. The transcript has 2 exons. NCBI's taxonomy places the organism in Eukaryota, Viridiplantae, Streptophyta, Magnoliopsida, Malvales, Malvaceae. The record is from RefSeq and is a predicted model, not a curated record.